This is a long non-coding RNA of Helianthus annuus (common sunflower), 2007 nucleotides long. RefSeq lists it as uncharacterized. The record is from RefSeq and is a predicted model, not a curated record. Lineage: Eukaryota; Viridiplantae; Streptophyta; Magnoliopsida; Asterales; Asteraceae. The transcript has 9 exons.
CUAAACACCCUUCUUCCCCACCACACAAACCCUAAUUUCAUUUUCAAUUAUCUCUGCCGUUCUUCUCUACCUCUCUUUCUGCCCUGAAUCACCCAUUCGUUUCUCUAAUCCAUAUCUCCUACAUCUUCUUAUCGCUUCUACUUCAGCAAUUCUACCUCAUCCAUACCUAAAUCUAUUUUCUUUGGAUCUUCUUCUCUUUGUAAUCAGUUUAAUGUUCCUCCUCUUCUCUUCUGAUUCAAGCUUCAAGAAUCAGGUCGUCUCUAGAAUUCCAGCCGUCACUAUCAUAUGGAUUUCUCAUCUCUCUGUCGAUUAAACUUUUGAAUCAGAUUUGGAAAUUAUUAGAUAAAGACAUGAUAGAGGUCGUGUUCUUUCCUGGUGUGAAUGGAAUUUCCAUCUUACAGAUUGUACCGUUGGAUCAAUCAAAGUUGCGGUUAUGAGAUCAAUGAAGAUGUUGCUAAGGUGCAAGAUCGAGGGAAGACAAGUUUAAAAGAAAACGUCGCCAAAGCAGAUUUCGCUUUCUCUAUCCACCAACCAUGAUUUUGUUUGGAUUUCUUGGAUUGCAGGUGAAUUUUUUUUUCUUUAGUUCAAACAAUGUGUGAAUGACCACUAAUUCACACCUUAGCUACAUGGAUACCUAUAGCUAGGGACUGAAUCUAAAUCAAAGAGAGAUUAUUACCGCCAGAUAGAUCUGAAGGUAUGAGUUCUUUUAACAUUUAAGUGUAUUGCAUUUAUGAUAACAGUUGUGGACAAAUAACUGUUACUAUUACUAUUGUCUAUUAAAUAUGUUUAUGAUUGUUAAUUGGAUUUGUAUGUGAUAUAUUUGAUUUUAUGUGUUAGGUUAUUAGUGUGUAAGGUGUGGUUUUAGGUUAUUAGUGGUUGAAUAAUGGUUGUUAUUGAUAUGCUAAAGUUUUAUGAUGUGUUAUGUAAAAGCUAUUAGGAUUGGAACUGAUUUAACACACACACGUGAACGUAAAUGAAAGUAAAACUGUUUCUUUUGAAGCUUCAAUAUUUUUAGAAUUAUUUUAAUAAUGAUAUGUUUGAAAUUCAUUUUUUGAGAUUGUUUUUCAUGUUUUAAUGGGGAUACUAUUUAUUUAAGUUUGUUAGAUGAUAGGUAAUUAGUUUUAAAAUUAAAACCUAAGAAAGAGGCCUAAGUUGUGUGAUAGAAACCUCACCACCUCAAAUCAUAAUGGGUUGAAUCUGUUUGGGCCGAAUUGGAGAAGCCCAGAACGUGGAUCAGAAAUUUUAAAGGAUUUGACAAAUAAUCUAACUAACCCAGAUAACCCAGUCAAUUAGAAGUUAGCGACAUGAGAAACCGUAUUAGUGGGGAUGGUUGUUAAGUGGGGUAAUCAGUUAGACAAGGUUUUAUUUAAUAUACGUUGUUAGAUUAGGGUGGCGAUGUUUUAUUAUCAAACUGGGGUUCUUUCCUAAACAUUGGAGAUCAAGCCUAUAUUGGCGCUAAUUGUAACCGUUCUUUCAGAAAUCAAAGCUUUCAAUUUCCGAUUUUUAUCACUGUGUUCUUUUAAAAUCAACUUUUAAGUUUAAUUUGUAUUUGUGAUGGUUUAUUAAAUCUAUGGAUCGGCGGAUCGACAACCGCAAAGGCAGCGCUGUUACACUCAUGAAGACGCUUCUCAAAGAACCUAUAUUCCCAAUCUGCCCUUUGACUAUUAAUUCCAAGUUCCCACUAUGGAAGCGAUGGCUACCAAUGAUACGCGUAACACUUAGGAGGCAACAGUCUAUCAACAGAUCGUGCAAUGACUGCAAUGCAUGAAUACUUGAUUCAUUUGCUUCGGAAUCUGGACACUGUGAAAUGUGAAUUGUAGACAAGUAAAGUCCUCUUCACUUCUAAUUUAGUGGUGGCGAAAAGGAUAAAUAUAAUGGGUCGAAAAUGAUUGGUUUUGUACGGUUUGGGUUACCAACAUUGUUUCUAUUUUUUUAAUACAUUAUUACUGUGCCAAAUAUGAUUUAAGUUGAACUUCAUCAUUUAUGACUAAGUUUUGGCUAACAUAA